This 224-nucleotide long non-coding RNA is filed under the name Lathyrus oleraceus (garden pea). RNAcentral describes it as "Pisum sativum (pea) long non-coding RNA (PSAT_LNC003426)". Lineage: Eukaryota; Viridiplantae; Streptophyta; Magnoliopsida; Fabales; Fabaceae. The record is from RNAcentral.
UCAUAUGAGGGGUAACCAAAUUGUUAUCAACGAGAUCCGGAGAAUUAUUUUUGAAGUUGGGACGAGACAAAUCAAAAAGGAAAAAUGAAAAUAAACAUUGCCAUUUUUAUUUGUUUUUAAACUACCAAAUUGUUAUCAACGAGAUCCGGAGAAUUAUUUUUGAAGUUGGGACGAGACAAAUCAAAAAGGAAAAAUGAAAAUAAACAUUGCCAUUUUUAUUUGUU